CGGGGUGAGUAACGCGUGGGUAACCUACUCUGUACACACGGAUAACAUACCAAAGGUAUGCUAAUACAGGAUAAUAUAUUUGAGAGGCAUCUCUUGAAUAUCAAAGGUGAGCCAGUACAGGAUGGACCCGCGUCUGAUUAGCUAGUUGGUAAGGUAACGGCUUACCAAGGCGACGAUCAGUAGCCGACCUGAGAGGGUGAUCGGCCACAUUGGAACUGAGACACGGUCCAA
RNAcentral lists this ribosomal RNA (231 nucleotides) under uncultured bacterium. RNAcentral's name for it is "partial 16S ribosomal RNA". It matches the Rfam family "Bacterial small subunit ribosomal RNA", at positions 104 to 334 of the family's 1533-position model. The record is from RNAcentral.